AGUGGAUGGGGAGCAACCUAGUUGUGCGUGUGUAAAGGUAGUGCCAAGAAAAGCGAUGAUCAUGUUGAAAAUCAAUUCCCGGUACCCGAAACCGACACAGGUGGGCAAGUAGAGAAUACUAAGGGGCGCGAGGUAACUCUCUCCAAGGAACUCGGCAAAAUGACCCCGUAACUUAGGGAGAAGGGGUGCCACCGAGAGGUGGUCGCAGUGAAGAGGCCCAGGCGACUGUUUAGCAAAAACAUAGGUCUCUGCAAACUCGAAAGAGGAGGUAUAGGGGCUGACGCCUGCCCAGUGCCGGAAGGUUAAAGAAGUUGGUCAGUCUUAGGAUGAAGCUAGCGACUGAAGCCCCGGUGAACGGCGGCCGUAACUAUAACGGUCCUAAGGUAGCGAAAUUCCUUGUCGGGUAAGUUCCGACCCGCACGAAAGACGUAACGAUCUGGGCGCUGUCUCGGAGAGAGGCUCGGCGAAAUAGGAUUGUCUGUAAGAUACGGACUACCUGCAUUUGGACAGAAAGACCCUAUGAAGCUUUACUAUAGCUUGGAAUUGUGUUCGGGCUUCCUGUGCGCAGGAUAGGUGGGAGGCGUAGAAGGUAUUCUUGUGGGGAUACUGGAGCCAACGGUGAGAUACCACUCUCAGGAGGCUAGAAUUCUAACUUAAUUAAGGACAGUUUCAGGUGGGUAGUUUGACUGGGGCGGUCGCCUCCAAAAAGGUAACGGAGGCGUACAAAGGUUCCCUCAGACUGGUUGGAAAUCAGUCGAAGAGUGCAAAGGCAGAAGGGAGCUUGACUGCGAGAAGUACAGUUCGAGCAGGGUGGAAACACGGUCUUAGUGAUCCGACGGUGCUGUGUGGAAGGGCCGUCGCUCAACGGAUAAAAGUUACUCUAAGGAUAACAGGCUGAUCUCCCCCAAGAGUUCACAUCGACGGGGAGGUUUGGCACCUCGAUGUCGGCUCAUCGCAACCUGGGGCGGAAGUACGUCCCAAGGGUUGGGCUGUUCGCCCAUUAAAGCGGUACGUGAGCUGGGUUCAGAACGUCGUGAGACAGUUCGGUCCAUAUCCGAUGUAGGCGUGAGAAUAUUGAGAGGAGCCUUCCUUAGUACGAGAGGACCGGGAAGGACGCACCGCUGGUGUACCUGUUAUGAUGCCAAUUGUAAACGCAGGGUAGCCAAGUGCGGAGAGGAUAACCGCUGAAAGCAUCUAAGUGGGAAGCCCACCUCAAGAUGAGUAUUCUGGUGUAAGGUCACGGGAAGACGACCCGUAAAUAGGCACGAGGUGGAAGUGCAGAGAUGUAUGAAGCCGAAGUGUACUAAUAGACCGUCGGCUUGACC
This 1325-nucleotide ribosomal RNA is filed under the name metagenome. RNAcentral's name for it is "bacterial LSU rRNA". It matches the Rfam family "Bacterial large subunit ribosomal RNA", at positions 1561 to 2925 of the family's 2925-position model. The record is from RNAcentral.